This is a long non-coding RNA of Balaenoptera acutorostrata (minke whale), 303 nucleotides long. RefSeq lists it as uncharacterized. The transcript is spliced from 3 exons. The record is from RefSeq and is a predicted model, not a curated record. NCBI's taxonomy places the organism in Eukaryota, Metazoa, Chordata, Mammalia, Artiodactyla, Balaenopteridae.
ACAGGUGAAAGAAGAAAAGUCUAGCUGCACAAUGAAGUCUUUUACACUACAUCCAUUUGCAUUUCCAAUGAAUGUUGACUGCAUACCACAGGCAGUUUUUCCUGUAUAUUCCUGAUCCAGCAAUACAGAUGGAACCAUAUAAAUUCUAAGUGUGUCUUUGGGAUAGACUCCUGGAAGAAGGACUGACAGCUACCAAAGACACAUUAAUAAUGUAUUCAAAUGCCUGUUUCUCACCCUUAACCUUGCCAGUAUAAGUGAAUAUCAAACUUUUGGAUUUAUGCCAAUAUAAUAGCUAAAAAAGAU